ACGGGAGGCAGCAGUGAGGAAUAUUGGUCAAUGGGCGUAAGCCUGAACCAGCCAAGUAGCGUGAGGGAUGACUGCCCUACGGGUUGUAAACCUCUUUUGUUUGGGAAUAACAGGGGCUACGCGUAGCCCUGUGCAUGUACCUUUCGAAUAAGCAUCGGCUAAUUCCGUGCCAGCAGCCGCGGUAAUACGGAAGAUGCGAGCGUUAUCCGGAUUUAUUGGGUUUAAAGGGAGCGUAGGCGGCCUUUUAAGUCUGCGGUCAAAUGUCAGGGCCCAACCUUGGCAUGCCGUGGAUACUGAUGGGCUUGAAUACACGCAAGGCAAGUGGAAUUCGUCGUGUAGCGGUGAAAUGCUUAGAUAUGACGAAGAACUCCGAUUGCGAAGGCAGCUUGCUGGGGACUUAUCGACGCUCAUGCUCGAAAGUGCGGGUAGCAAACAGGAUUAGAUACCCUGGUA
This 453-nucleotide ribosomal RNA is filed under the name uncultured Paraprevotella sp. RNAcentral's name for it is "partial 16S ribosomal RNA". It matches the Rfam family "Bacterial small subunit ribosomal RNA", at positions 341 to 792 of the family's 1533-position model. The record is from RNAcentral. Lineage: Bacteria; Pseudomonadati; Bacteroidota; Bacteroidia; Bacteroidales; Prevotellaceae.